Molecule: long non-coding RNA, 503 nt
Filed under: Piliocolobus tephrosceles (Ugandan red Colobus)
Lineage: Eukaryota; Metazoa; Chordata; Mammalia; Primates; Cercopithecidae
Description: lncRNA (ENSPTEG00000030741.1)
Source: RNAcentral
AUGGGAUGGUGCCUCUGUGAUCAACGGGCCUGGCAGAGGGAUGCAGGAGGGGAGCUUUCCUCCAUGCUGAGCAAGCUGGCAGUAACUAAGGCCCUGCUGGGCGCAUCCCUAGUGCCUUCUGCCCAGACCUCGGGACCCCCAGGGAUCCUGGCCCCUGUGGACGGGGACUUUUGUGCUCUCCUUCACUGUUACCAGCGAGAAGGCUUGAAGAGGCAGAACACCCGAGAGGAGUCUGGGGCCACCACCCAGCGUCACUGUGGGAAAACGGCAGCAGGAAAUGUCCUCUCACCCGUGUGCUUCACCUCUGUCCACACCUUCCCUCCUUCUGGAAGCCUUGCCUGACCACUGGCCUGCCCCUUCUAUGGGAAUUGCUGCUGACCUUGCAGCUCACUGUAGACUUAUAUGUAUGCAGAAAUAUAAUUUUAAUUACUUUUGUAUUGCUCCAAGAGUGAUACCGAAUCACAACAGAAAAUUUAAAUAAACAAAAUAGCCAAAUUAUUACA